UUGGGUCGUGUUAUAAAUGCUCUGGCUAAACCUAUUGAUGGGAGGGGCAAAAUUGUAGCUUCCAAAUCUCGCUUAAUUGUAUCUCCUUCUCCAAGUAGAAUUUCUAGGCGUUCCGUAUAUGAACCUCUUGAAACAUGGCUUAUUUCUAUCGAUUCGAUGAUCCCUAUAGGGCGCUGUCAGUGAGAGUUCAUUAUUGGGGAUAGACAAACUGGCAAAACAGCAGUAGCCACAGAUACAAUUCUAAAGAAAAAAGGGCAAGAUGUAAGAAGAACGAGAGUGAGCCUUCACGAAAGAAAAUGCAAGUGA
RNAcentral lists this ribosomal RNA (306 nucleotides) under Triticum aestivum (bread wheat). RNAcentral's name for it is "partial small subunit ribosomal RNA". The record is from RNAcentral. Lineage: Eukaryota; Viridiplantae; Streptophyta; Magnoliopsida; Poales; Poaceae.